AGAAAGAGAAAUCUGGAAGGCAUGGACGCCGCCCUCCGGCUAACCACCACCUAUAGCAGUAUCCUGGUUCACCACACACUGAUCUCAGAAGAUUAUUCCAAAAAUUUCUCAUUUCAUUGCAUUGAGUAAGAAAAGCAUGUGGUACCAUCAGCUGAGGAAAACACAGACCUGGACUUCACAACUUCUGGCAAUGGUGUUAUACCUGGUACUCCCAAAACUUGACACUGAUACUGUUGAACAUUGCAGAGGAUCUGAGGAUAGAAGAAAACAUGUGAUAAACUGAGACUUAGCAGUUGAAUUAAUGUCACCAAGUUUGCGUUGACAAAAGAAAACUAUAUUCUGGAGGAAGUACUGGAAAAGAACAUGCAGAAAAGUCUCUUAAAGCUUUGUUAGUGAUUAACAAAGAAAUAUGGGAUUUUAAUAAAGAAGGUGAAAAACAAAUACUGCCAAAGCAAAAUCAGUCAGGUUGUUAAAUACGAAAUGCCAUUUUAUCUGCUGUAGGGUCAAAUAAGAUGAAAUCAAACAAGAAGUGACAUCAUGAAUGUCAGAUUUGCACUGUGAAGAUUUUAGCUCAUGAAAGAUUUUAUACAUGUGUGGAAUGUGAUGCAAUUUUUUGACCAACCUUGUAUGUACGUUUUACUAAAAUUUGCCAUUCUGUGUUCACCAUGUGUUCAGUCAGAAGAGGGCAUUGUGCUGCAAGAUAGGACCACCUCAAAGUCUUUAGAGUGUUUUUGUUUUGUAAGUGUAGAUGUGUUGAAAAAA
This is a long non-coding RNA of Lingula anatina, 762 nucleotides long. Lineage: Eukaryota; Metazoa; Brachiopoda; Lingulata; Lingulida; Lingulidae. The record is from RefSeq and is a predicted model, not a curated record.